Molecule: non-coding RNA, 781 nt
Organism: Pocillopora verrucosa
Lineage: Eukaryota; Metazoa; Cnidaria; Anthozoa; Scleractinia; Pocilloporidae
Source: RefSeq, a predicted model, not a curated record
GUUUAAUGUCAUGCGCAAAGGCUCUUAAUGCUAGCGGGAUAAUUUGCAUACAGUUUCAAAUGCGGAAAUCCUUGAUUGACGUUUGACCAUCUAACUUUUAAUCUUCAGCGUUAGGAUUUUCCUUGAAGUCAAGAUCAAGUCAGGCGGAUAUUAUCGAGCUCUCGCCGUCGCUAGUUACCGAGGAAUGAGUCGAGUGGGUCACAGAAUUUUACAGAUAUCACGAUAUCAAAUCCAUCUGUUUCUAUAAUCAGACUUCAGCAAGGCUUUGUGAAAUGUCUAUAUUUAAAGGCACAAAGAAGGGUAAAGGUGGAAGUUUGACCGAGAAACUGGUCUUCUACACAGGAUCAGAAUAUGAUUACUGUAGUCAUGACUCCCUCAGAGAGAAAAUGAGCGAACAUAAAGGGAUUGACCACUCCGAGAAACUACAAAAAAUGUGGCUUUUUAAAAGACCUCUGAGUGAAUGGCAACGUACCCAGCUUGUUUGGAACCAUCAGUUUGUCGUGGUAGAUUCACCUGGUUGGUAUUGGUCCCUUGAGAGAGAAGGGGAAACGCUUCUCCUUCAAAGGAACGUAAAGUAUACCGUCGUUAAAGAUUAUGAAGAAGGAUGCCCCAGAUACGCUCCAGUAGUCGAAAUAAAACAUGGUUAUUGCAAAGGAACAAUGAAAGAUUUGAUUGAGUUUCUUUAUCGCAAGGGAGAGCUAAAGACUAAUUACGAUUGGGUGUUCAACAAUUGUAAAACGUUCGCAAAUAGUGUGUUCAAUGAAUUUGUGGUAGAGGGUAC